GGUCCGGUAGUUCAGUUGGUUAGAAUGCCUGCCUGUCACGCAGGANGUUCGAGUCCCGUCCGGACCGCCA
RNAcentral lists this transfer RNA (70 nucleotides) under Bacillus sp. FJAT-21945. RNAcentral's name for it is "tRNA-Asp". It matches the Rfam family "tRNA". Rfam says of the family: Transfer RNA (tRNA) molecules are approximately 80 nucleotides in length. Their secondary structure includes four short double-helical elements and three loops (D, anti-codon, and T loops). The record is from RNAcentral. Lineage: Bacteria; Bacillati; Bacillota; Bacilli; Caryophanales; Bacillaceae.